RNAcentral lists this ribosomal RNA (196 nucleotides) under Escherichia coli. Its description in RNAcentral is "partial 23S ribosomal RNA". It matches the Rfam family "Bacterial large subunit ribosomal RNA", at positions 1 to 188 of the family's 2925-position model. RNAcentral also lists the same sequence under 1 other name. The record is from RNAcentral. Lineage: Bacteria; Pseudomonadati; Pseudomonadota; Gammaproteobacteria; Enterobacterales; Enterobacteriaceae.
GGGUUGUGAGGUUAAGCGACUAAGCGUACACGGUGGAUGCCCUGGCAGUCAGAGGCGAUGAAGGACGUGCUAAUCUGCGAUAAGCGUCGGUAAGGUGAUAUGAACCGUUAUAACCGGCGAUUUCCGAAUGGGGAAACCCAGUGUGUUUCGACACACUAUCAUUAACUGAAUCCAUAGGUUAAUGAGGCGAACCGGG